This 75-nucleotide transfer RNA is filed under the name Glycomyces algeriensis. RNAcentral's name for it is "tRNA-Pro". Lineage: Bacteria; Bacillati; Actinomycetota; Actinomycetes; Glycomycetales; Glycomycetaceae. The record is from RNAcentral.
UGAUGCGCGGCGCGAUGGUCGCGCCGCGGAUGGGCCCGGCGAGAACGAGACCCGGUCCGAUGCCGGGCGCAGCAG